This is a long non-coding RNA of Harpia harpyja (harpy eagle), 712 nucleotides long. RefSeq lists it as uncharacterized. The transcript is spliced from 3 exons. Lineage: Eukaryota; Metazoa; Chordata; Aves; Accipitriformes; Accipitridae. The record is from RefSeq and is a predicted model, not a curated record.
CACAGAAGCAGACCUUUCAUCGCAAGCAGCAUUGUCAGUGGAGGUCUGGCUGCAAGUCCAGUUCUGUAUGCAACUGAAGUGGGACAUCUUGGCAACCAUUUGGCACUGAACGGAAGUCGAAGUCUAGGAGGAAGCUUCCUAAGCCAAACCGGGAACGCGUUAUCGUCAAGAAAGAGGGUUGAAGCCUAUGUGGCUAAGGUACGGCGGGAACUGGAUGAAAAAAUCACUAAAGAACUUGAAGAGGCCACUGCUGAACUUGAAACCAGAUCUGCUGGAUCUUCAAGAAAUGUCCAUGUUGACCAGGAUCCCCUUUGCAGGGCAAUACAGGAGUACCGUGAUGUUCUAACCAAAAAUUAUCUGAUUUGAACAAAAUGCUAGGCAAAGGCUCGGGAAAUAAUUUUGUUUACAUAGCGCAUCUGUGGUUUCCCAUCCUUCAGAUUGUUCAGAUGUGAAAACAUGGGGUUUUUUAUUACCUGAAUAUAAAUUCUAUUAAAUGGAUGUCAAGCACGUUGCACUUACCUGAUGGUUUAUUGAUGCACAGUUGUUUUAUUUUGCACUCACGCUAAGAACCAUAUCUAUUUUUUCUGACUGGCAGAUUGACUACUUUUGACUCUUGAGCUUGACAGAACUGUCAAAAUGUUUCUUAUUAAGGUAGAUGCAUUAUUUUGCUCCACUCAUGUUCUGUGUUUUAACAAAAGCAUUCCCUUUGUUC